AUCCACAAAAUUAUUCUUCAUUCAAAUAAAACUUCUUUAUUAUUUAUUAUUUUCUGUUCAUGCAUACUGAUAAUAACCCCCGCUUAGCUUUGUUUUAUCUUUCCUCGGUAUUUUUUAUCCAUUAGCGUUCUACUCUGAUGCCAAGAGCGUCAAACGGUUUAUAUUAUUCGCUACUGGGAUUUAAAAUAAUUUACACUCUUACACAUAAAUAAUUAUUACAUUUUUUAUCUGGUGUGACACGAUCAAAGUCUUAAAAUUUAUCGACACCACCACUAACAUAAUAUCUCAUCAUAUUAAUCGCGCUAAGAGAUUACGCCUAGAGUUUAUUGACAUAUCAUCGCAGAUAAACAUCAAGAAAAACAGGAUUAUAUAUAGUGAGGAUGCAACCGCCAAGCGGUAAUUCACAAUGAUUCUCAAGUUCGCGGAUUCCAAGUACUGGGAAAACGGUUCUCGUUGCCGCUGGUCAAAGAGGUCUGCUCGCGACAACAUUGCAGCCGAGAUAGGUCUACACUUAUACGCAUUGCGUGUAUGUACAUGUGAGAACAAUAGUUCAAGAAAAAUGAUACAGAAGUUAGCUGACAACUGUCAAAUUAUUAUAACAAAUCAAUUAUAAUAAAAAAGUUCGUUA
Molecule: long non-coding RNA, 628 nt
Organism: Cotesia glomerata
Lineage: Eukaryota; Metazoa; Arthropoda; Insecta; Hymenoptera; Braconidae
Exons: 3
Source: RefSeq, a predicted model, not a curated record